This 279-nucleotide ribosomal RNA is filed under the name uncultured bacterium. Its description in RNAcentral is "partial 16S ribosomal RNA". It matches the Rfam family "Bacterial small subunit ribosomal RNA", at positions 506 to 784 of the family's 1533-position model. The record is from RNAcentral.
UGCCAGCCGCCGCGGUAAGACAGAGGGUGCAAACGUUGUUCGGAAUUACUGGGCGUAAAGCGCGUGUAGGCGGCUCUGUAAGUCGGAUGUGAAAUCCCGUGGCUCAACCAUGGAAGUGCACCCGAAACUGCAGGGCUAGAGUAUCGGAGAGGAAGGUGGAAUGCUUGGUGUAGAGGUGAAAUUCGUAGAUAUCAAGCGGAACACCGGUGGCGAAGGCGGCUUUCUGGACGAUUACUGACGCUGAGACGCGAAAGCGUGGGUAGCAAACAGGAUUAGAUA